UGCGCGCGCAGGGUGAGCCGGGAAGGGAGAUGGCUCUCCGCCUGAGGGGUUGGUGGUAGGGAUGUAAGAUCCUCGUGUCCCAGCGCGGCUGGUAGGGAUUCAGCAAGCAGGGGUACGCCGCUUCUGUCCCCGUGUUGGAGAGCAACAACACAGGACAACAAGCCAUCCUGCUACGAGGUUCGGCAUCACCUACAGGAGUUUUAUCUUCAAGACGAAAUCAUCACUGGUUUUUGUACUCAUUGGAUCAGUGUGGAUUGAGCAGCAUUGAAUCCUUGUAUUGAGCGGACGUGUUUGCAGAUCUAGGUCGCAUUCUUUGGAAGAUUAGCAAGACUUUUAAUUCACGCUCUAUUCACACCGAAGUUACACUUGCCUGCUGGCAUCAGGUCUCCAAGGGGGAAAGAAAACAGAACUUUCCAACAGCAGUGGGUGAGCCAUCCAUCUCUACUGUACCUUGUAAUAGAGACAUAUGAAGGAUGCAGUGAUUUCACUGCCAUCAGGAAACCCUGAGAGGCAGGAGGAAACGAGAAGGCUGCACAGAGCAACUAUUCCUGGACAAGACACGGCUGAGAAAAUCCUAGAACACAGGGCGGAGACAGACCACACAAGAAGGAACUAAAACCCUCAAGAAAUGGAAGACAUUAACUACUUGAUGAAGCAUUCUUCAUUCCAGAGAAAAAGUCACGGUUCGAUAACCCUGAGAACCUCAGAAGCUCAUCAGGACACCACCUGAGGCCAGAUUAAAGGAAUGCAGGUCCUGCACACACCCCGAUCUUUAUUAGCAACUCCACCCUUGAACCAUCGCUAUAAAACCCCUCACCAAAUCUCCCCAGGGUGGGACACACACUUUUGAGGGGCACAAGCCCUCUGUGUCCCCCUUUGCCUGGCAAAGCAAUAAUACUAUUCUUUCCUACUUCACCCAGAA
Long non-coding RNA from Orcinus orca (killer whale), 922 nucleotides. RefSeq lists it as uncharacterized. The transcript has 5 exons. Lineage: Eukaryota; Metazoa; Chordata; Mammalia; Artiodactyla; Delphinidae. The record is from RefSeq and is a predicted model, not a curated record.